Molecule: transfer RNA, 74 nt
Filed under: Promethearchaeati archaeon
Lineage: Archaea; Promethearchaeati
Description: Asgard group archaeon (marine sediment metagenome) tRNA-Pro
Rfam family: tRNA
About the family: Transfer RNA (tRNA) molecules are approximately 80 nucleotides in length. Their secondary structure includes four short double-helical elements and three loops (D, anti-codon, and T loops). Further hydrogen bonds mediate the characteristic L-shaped molecular structure. tRNAs have two regions of fundamental functional importance: the anti-codon, which is responsible for specific mRNA codon recognition, and the 3' end, to which the tRNAs corresponding amino acid is attached (by aminoacyl-tRNA synthetases). tRNAs cope with the degeneracy of the genetic code in two manners: having more than one tRNA (with a specific anti-codon) for a particular amino acid; and 'wobble' base-pairing, i.e. permitting non-standard base-pairing at the 3rd anti-codon position.
Source: RNAcentral
AGUCCGGUGGUGUAGUGUUAGCAUCCAAGUUUUGGAAGCUUGAGACGGAGGUUCAAUUCCUCCCCGGACUACCA